RNAcentral lists this ribosomal RNA (498 nucleotides) under uncultured bacterium. RNAcentral's name for it is "bacterial SSU rRNA". It matches the Rfam family "Bacterial small subunit ribosomal RNA", at positions 28 to 518 of the family's 1533-position model. The record is from RNAcentral.
GAUGAACGCUAGCGGCAGGCUUAAUACAUGCAAGUCGAGGGGCAGCAUGACUGUAGCAAUACAGUUGAUGGCGACCGGCAAACGGGUGCGGAACACGUACAGAACCUUCCUUCGAGCGGGGAAUAGCCCAGAGAAAUUUGGAUUAAUACCCCAUAGUACAACGGAGUGGCAUCACUUUGUUGUUAAAGAUUUAUCACUUGAAGAUGGCUGUGCGGCUGAUUAGGUAGUUGGCGGGGUAACGGCCCACCAAGCCUGCGAUCAGUAACUGGUGUGAGAGCACGACCAGUCACACGGGCACUGAGACACGGGCCCGACUCCUACGGGAGGCAGCAGUAAGGAAUAUUGGUCAAUGGACGAAAGUCUGAACCAGCCAUGCCGCGUGGAGGAUGAAGGUCCUCUGGAUUGUAAACUUCUUUUAUAUGGGACGAAAAAGGGUUUUCUAACUCGUCUGACGGUACCAUAUGAAUAAGCACCGGCUAACUCCGUGCCAGCAGCCGC